Long non-coding RNA from Astatotilapia calliptera (eastern happy), 4014 nucleotides. The record is from Ensembl. NCBI's taxonomy places the organism in Eukaryota, Metazoa, Chordata, Actinopteri, Cichliformes, Cichlidae.
CUCAUUAAGUGCAGAUGGUUUAAAUAAUUCAUGCACUCCUGGGUUUGAUGGUUGUCGUCCUCCUCCACCGUACAGCUAUGCAAAUCACAGACAGCAGCAGUAUGUCAGAACGACCACAAUGGUCUCGUCUAAUCAAUCUAAUAUUCAACCUGGGACUUCGGCUACCCGUAAAAAUUAUAGUAACUUGAAUUCCAUCAAGUUAUUACCCGGGCAUUCUGGACAGUCUUUACCUCAAAGCACUCAAAAUGUAAUGUCAAGAACACAGCACGCUGUAAGUACACCCCAUCAGCAAACCUGUGUACCUAACGGUUUCCACAAAUCUGCUGCAGGAAAUGAAAGAAGCCCAAGUAACGAAAUUCAUCCUAAAAAGAACUGUAGCUUAAUUGAAUUGUUGCUUUGUUCAUCCCUGCUGCCGGAAUCUGUUGACCGCAAGACACAAUCAUCAGUAGCAAGCAGUUUUGAGAUGCUGUCAUCAGUCCAGUUAAAUGACAGCUCCAUUCACUCAUCACCUGGAAAUGCCAGCACCAAAGCUAUUGCUGUUGUACAACCACUGCCAUCACUGGAAGGUCAGCUUCACAAUGACCAUGCUUCUUCUGAUUCCACAGCAGGAGACUCUUUAAACAACCCUAAGGAAACUUUUGUUUUAGAUACCACAGCAAUUAACAAAACGCUGCCAUCUUCAGAGUCAGGGACACAAAACACAGGAAAACAACCUGAACUGGAUGUUAAUGUUCAAAAUUCAAUUCCAUCCCAAGAAUCAGUAUGCCAAAAUUCUCCUGAAGACCAAAGUGGGAUCCAGACACUUUCAACAUCACCCGUUUCUGAUCUUUCCGCACUCCCAACAUCCCCAUGGACAUUAUUGGCACUAACGAAGUUGAUAAAAGAUGCAGAAAAGAAUCAGAAAGAGCUCAGCGAUUUGAAAGAAUUACACACUGCACAAAAAAUUAUAGACCUGUUUUGGGAGGGAAAACUUGAAACACUGCAAAUGUACUCAUGCAAGGUAGAUGGCAAUUUUGAGGAGCAAAUGGAAAGCUACCAUGUCCUCAAAGACAAUGAAGUAUUUUCAGAAUUGCCUUACAAAUCAUCAUGGUUAAAUCUAAAUGAGCAGUUGGAUGAAAUAGACAAAGAAUUUGGUUUCCCAUUGUCUCUGAAACAUCACACUUCAUUGCUUGAGAGUGAUGGCCAGAAAGAUCAGAUGCACAUCAACAACAGUGAUCCUGCAAUUAUGAGUAAAGUGCCAAGCAAGAUCUUGCCAUCAACACAUUUUGAACCCGUUGAUUCAAAUGAAGGAAAAGAAGCCACCACACUCAAACCCCCCUCCAUUCAAACUCCCUCCUCUAAUCAGACAGAUGAUGCCAGUGACCCAUGUUUGUCCCUGAAAAUCCAAGUUAUGCCUCCAGAAGAAGCCAAACGUUACCAUGAGCAAAGCGAAAAUGAGAUGCCACAAAGUAUGGAUGCAGAGAGGGUCGUAAGUAGUUCCACGGAGAGUGAGACACCUGAUAAUACAGAGUCCACAUCGUGGGAAUCAAAAUUGGAAACUGUGGAAAUUGGCAUAAGUCAGUCGCUUUGCUGUCUUACAAAGCUGUUGAAAAUGACUAUAGGAUCAAGUACAUCUUAUGAUUGUAAAUGCCACAGCCAGAAAGAACAAAAGUUUGGAAAAGGGUUAAAAAAUACCAGUGAUAGUGGCGAAACAGUUGUACUAAAGCACAAUAACCAGCUUGGGAAGGAUCCAGUAAAGGACAAGGAGAACACUGAUGAUCAAGUUGUGACAUUUAGUGGUUCUGAGCUUUGCAGCUUUCUUGGUCAAACCAUAGAUUUGACUGAAGUUGAUGACCAACCUCAAUUGCCUUCUGAACAAAAUUCUAAGAACCACUCCAAAAUAGCCAAUACCAGUCAUUCAGGUAUUAUAAUUAUAAGUGAUGAAGAUGAAGAUCUCUCCAGUGGUGAAAAUGAAAUUCUUAGCCAGAAGACAGAUCUUGCCAUAAAGAUGUCUGAACCUUACGAUAAGUGUGGACAAGAACAACCAACGUCUACAGCAUCGAGUCUGUCAGGUGCCUCAGUCAGUACUAACAAAGCUGAAACUGAAAAGUUCUGCAGCACUGAGACUGAGAUUGCCAUCCAGAUCCUGGAUCAUGACAGGAGUUGUGAAGAAGCUUUAGAUGUGCCAGUGUCACCUUUGGAAACCAAAGAGCAAUCUCAAAUCUGUGCUGAAGGUGACUUUAAAGUAUCUGUCAAGCAUAAAAAAAUCAAAAGAAAACACAAGAGACUCGAAUGGGAUGAUGAAUUUGGUCCACCCCAAAAGGAAUCAAAGAAAUGCAACUUGCCUGUUGAUCUUAAUUUAGAAAAUGCCCUUGAUGAUGUUUCAAAAUGUGAAAAGGAGCCUGCUGUUGAAGCUGAAGCUCUCAAUAUAGACUCAAAAAGAACUGCAGAACUGGUGCUGUUUGGCUCAGCUCAACAAGACAAGUGUGCUUUAACUGGCAGCAGAAAAGCCCAUUUCCGUUUUGUAAAGGGUGCAUCUAAGGCAGCACACCUGAGGCCUCCAGAAGUUCUUACUGUCAAUCUCAACCCUUUGAGUAGCAAGUCCAGUGACAUGGUGUACAAGAGGAAUUAUUCAGUAAAACAGCUAAUUCAUGACAAAUGGUGGAGAAGUUUUCAACAGACUAAAGCUAGUCACAAAAAAACCCGUAAACAUCGUUCUUACUCUGUUGCCGGGGGUAUCUUGAUGAAACGAGAUGGAAUUAAGGAAUCCCGGAGUCUGAAGACGCUUGGAGAGGAGAAGAAGGAUAUCACUGCUGAUAAUAAGAGGUGUUCCUCUAAAAGUGAAAGCCAAAAUGUCAAACCUUGCCAGGAGCACAUAGUCUUGAGGUUCAGUGUUCUACCCAGUAACUUUGACCUCAAAGAUGGAUCCAGUGGCAGGAAGCAAUCCACCAAUCCCAUUUCAGAAGAGCCAGAGAAAGAGCAGAGCGCUGCUACAGCUGCUGCAAAACCGAAAGGUAAAUGGAGUUCGAGUCUGCAGAAGAAUCGACCUCGACCUAUUCCCAAGACCUUCAGUCUCUUCCACGAGUAUCAGAAGAAAUACAAGGAGCGCUCUCACUCAAAAGAUUAAUAAUGUGAAAGAUGUCUCUUCUCAGGGAAUACUUUUUUUUUUUUUUUUUUUUCCAUUUAAGACAUUUAGUACAAAGAUUCUGACUAAAAUUAUGCCUUUGUGUUUUUUUCUGCAGUGUAUAUACAAGCAAUACAUUAAGGCUGUGCAACCUUUUGUUGUUUACAUGCCUGUAAAAAGCAUUACAGUCAUGGAGCAGGUGUAGUUACUGACUUGUGGGAUGUGGGAACUUGGCAGCCUUUACAAAUUUGUUCAAGUGAUGACAUUCUGUUCGUCAUUGAUUAUUAUUGUGUCACUGCUCCUUGUCGGUUCACCACUGUACUCGCGACAGACAUGAAAGGAAUACAUGGUAUUUGCUGUCGGUGCAGUUCUGUUUAAUGAGCUGAGAAGCUCUGAAGAUGCAUGACACUGCAUAGUUUGUCUUGUGUCUGUGCAUCAGAGAGUGCAUGCAGACUUUAGAUGGUAAGUCCACAUGUUCAGAGCCAUGUUCAAAUUAACAAGUGAUAUCCAUGAAAGGGGGUGUAAGUCUAAAAUCUUUGUUGUUGUUUUUUUGACAAAAAACUUGACUUGUAACAUUUGCAUUGUGAGUUUUUUACUGUUUUUCUACACUUUCAGUAUUUGUACUCUAACCAUUUUUUAAAAUUUUUUUAUUAUUGUUUCUACGAUUAAAUUAUCCAUUUUUAAUGUGGUUUUGUCUUUGUCUAAACUAAUAGUAGGUAUUAUAAUUGAUUUAUAAGCUGCAAUAGUUGUUUAGCAUUAAAGGGAAAUGGCGUAGUUCCUGGAAAUAAUCUGAAACAAACCCAAAUUACAGGAAGGUGAAAUGCCCAUUAACGGUUUUAUUCUGCUCCUUGCAACGAUCCUCUUUGUUGAUCUUAUUGUAUUGUUUGAUAUCAAAUCAAAAAUGUUUAUGC